CACCUUUCACUGUGUCUGGGAACAGCUUGGGAGUGGAUUCCUUCAGAGGCUAGGGAAUCUUAUUCCAGAAGGGGGCUGCACCAAGACAUCCCACUACACACGCUCUUGGAGGGAGAGAACAGAGGCUCUUGUUCUGGAGACAGGAAUCAUGAAGCUGUACAAGGAGAAGAGAAGACAAUAUAGAAAUGUCUUGGAAAAAUUCUCUGUGUAGAAGAAACAGAUCCAGUCCUAAGUCUUUCAGCUGAGGAGUCAGACCCCAGAUCCCUGCGGCCCCUGCAACCCCGUACCCCCUCUUGAUAUGGCCAC
This is a non-coding RNA of Peromyscus maniculatus bairdii (prairie deer mouse), 306 nucleotides long. NCBI's taxonomy places the organism in Eukaryota, Metazoa, Chordata, Mammalia, Rodentia, Cricetidae. The record is from RefSeq and is a predicted model, not a curated record.